RNAcentral lists this ribosomal RNA (468 nucleotides) under uncultured bacterium. RNAcentral describes it as "partial 16S ribosomal RNA". It matches the Rfam family "Bacterial small subunit ribosomal RNA", at positions 28 to 507 of the family's 1533-position model. The record is from RNAcentral.
GACGAACGCUGGCGGCGUGCUUAACACAUGCAAGUCGAACGGAAAGGCCCUGCUUUUGUGGGGUGCUCUAGUUGCGAACUGGUGAGUAACACGUGAGUAACCUGCCCUUGACUUUGGGAUAACUUCAGGAAACUGGGGCUAAUACCGGAUAGGAGCUCCUGCUGCAUGGUGGGGGUUGGAAAGUUUCGGCGGUUGGGGAUGGACUCGCGGCUUAUCAGCUUGUUGGUGGGGUAGUGUCUUACCAAGGCUUUGAGGGGUAGCCGGCCUGAGAGGGUGACAGGCCAAAUUGCGAUUGGAAUACGACACAGCCUACAACGGGAGGCAGGGGUGGGGAAGAUUGUAUAAGGGGCGGAAGGCUGAUGUAGUCCAGCAGCGCGGGGGAUGACGGGAUGGGCGUUGUAAUCUGAUUCCGCCUGUCACGAAGCGUGAGUGACGGUACUGGGUAAAGAAGCACCGGCUAACUCCGUG